CUCUCCUCGGUCACCCUGCCCGUCGGCGCCUCUGCUUCCUGCCAGGACCCUGACUGAUACACACACGAACGGAGGGGCCAGAUGCGUCUUCCCUGCAAACUCGCACUAAUGGAAGAAUAGGCACAUAGUUUAGAAUGUGCACAGAUUAUCUACUUUAAAAAAAUUACUGUUUUUUCCAGUUGCUUCUUCCAAUUAGCACAGCUGGCCAGCCUCAGAGGAAAUCUGUCUUUAUCCCCAGAAUAACAGAAUGAGUCCCUGCUUCCUCACUCUGCUACCGCGCCAGCUCGCUGCUGCCCCAGCUCAGCCCCGGGGCUCUGCCUCUUGCAGACUCCCCUGCCCUGUGCUUUCUGUCGCUGUGGGCCUCCUAGCAACUCAUCUUGGUGUGUCUGACUUUCCUUUUGAGAAAUGCUUGCCACUGCAGAGUCAAGCUCGUCCCUGGACAGUUUCAAGCAGCAAGAAGCUGGUUUUUCUGAGAAUUCACUUUCCUGGCAUCAACCACACUCCAGCAGGAGACUUGGCAGGUGUGAUUAAUUGAAGGCUCUUGCGAUGAGGAGAGUAUCCCGGAUUUUCCACGGGUGGGAGAGACACGACCAGCAAGAGUCAGUCGGCUUUGAAGACAGGAGUUGGCCACCAGCCAAGAAAUGCAGGCGGCCCCUAGAAGCUGGAAAAGGAAAUGAAGCGGCUUCUGUCCUGGAGCCUCCACAAAGGAACUCCACUGUGCUGACAGCUCGAGACCAUUUCUGACCUCCGGAAUCGUAAGAUUAAAUUUGCGCUUUAAGCCGCUAAGCUUCUAGUAAUUGUUCAGCAGCACGAGGGAACUCACACCGCUGCCCAGACCCAACGCUGCUGCAUCCUUGAAGGAGGACCCACGCUGCGUCGCUCCACAGGGGCAUGAAGCGUCUGGGGUGUCACCCAUACUGUUUGUCCUGGGCAGGUGUGGGGAGCACACUGGGCCACGGCACUGAAUGUCCCCUGGGCACGGGCACCACCAGGGAUUGAAUAUUCCAGGGCAGGAGAGCUCAG
Molecule: long non-coding RNA, 1023 nt
Filed under: Ursus americanus (American black bear)
Lineage: Eukaryota; Metazoa; Chordata; Mammalia; Carnivora; Ursidae
Description: lncRNA (ENSUAMG00000013919.1)
Source: RNAcentral